Molecule: long non-coding RNA, 2331 nt
Organism: Pogona vitticeps (central bearded dragon)
Lineage: Eukaryota; Metazoa; Chordata; Lepidosauria; Squamata; Agamidae
Source: Ensembl
CAGUGGGAAACCAGCAGAGGCGGUUUUGCACACUCCGUUCAAGAAGCAACGCUGUUCUCUUACACGCGGGCACACACACACGUCCCACUCCCAAGCCUUUUUUUCUUCUUCUUCUCCCGUAUGUACAUAGGAUCGCGCAGCAGGGCCACCCGCCCUCCUUCUCGGACGUCCUUUUGAAGAAGAGACACGCUUGCACACGCCUUCGUGCAGCCUUAGUAGCGCGCCACUAUAGGGGUCGAGGAAAGGUGGGGAACAACGCGUGCACCCACCUCCCCUCCCCUUCGUCCUUUGCUGGGUUUACACACGGACACUUUUCACACGCGCGGAGGCCCCACACGCGUUUGGUCUGUGUUUCACACGCGCUAGACCGCUUCACACGCGCGCGCGUCCCCAGCGCGCUACUUAAAGGGAUUCCCUUUCAUCCACUUUCUCCGGCUCAUCUACACGGCUGAGAAAAUUUAAGGAUUCAGCGCACCUGUUCAUGCCAGUUUUCUAGCACAGAGACAGUCUUAAGUCGGUAGUGGGGGAGACCACCUGAUAGCUUUGGGGCUGGUCUUUUUACUUUGUUUUGGGAAAUGGCUUUGGGGCAGGACUUUUAAUUCACAGAAUUAAUUCUAGCGUCAUUCUCCAAAUGUCCAAAUUGAGUUGCAAUGUGGUUUUAAAACAGUCAAGCCAUUUUUACGCUUUCAAAUAUGGUGCUUAAUAGGGCACUCUGAGCUGAAAGAUGCACCAGUUGUGGUGGGUUUAAUAUGCUGACGAGUGUGGUGGCCUAUCUGCCCUUGUUCAGAAGCCUGGCUGAUCUCAGCAAUCAGAACAGGGAAACAAAGAGGGUGGGAAAAGGAGAAAUGGUUUCUUCCCUAGCCCAGGAACAUGGGCGCUAGGUGCCACAACGUUAGGCCAGAGAGAAGAUAGUCCAAAGUUCCUGCUAGACUGAAAGGGGUUGGGAUUCAGUGCAUCCUUAGAUGACCCGAGUCUAGCUCAGUUGGCCCUCAACUAUUUCACCUAGGUAAGAUUAUGCUCUGAGAGUGUUGGAUUGGGGCCUCAAGAGAGUUGGAUGUAAAUGAGACGUCAACUUGAUUGGAGUUGCCAUGAGCAGCUAAUCAGUGGCUAAAAUCCAACUGGUGCAACUCUUCCAGGAUAACUGCUGAUUACAUCAUCAGCCCAUGGUGUUACUGUUUAAUUAAUUAGGGAAGCCUUCGGGAGGAGAAACCAGAGACUAGUAAACCUUUAAUUGCCAUCAGUUUUCCACAGCUGGGAUUAUAUAACCACAGCUAGCAAUCCAAUGGUGAUUUUCUAAUACAAUGGUGCCUCACCUGACGAGGAUAAUUUGUUCCAUUCAAAUCGCUGUUAAGCAAAAUCCUCGUCAAGCGAAAUGAAAAAGCCCAUUGAAAUGCAUUGAAAACUGGUUCAAUGCGUUCCAAUGGGCGAAAUACCUCAGCGUCCAGUGAAGAUCCUCCAUAGGGUGGCCAUUUUCGGUGCCUGUAAAGUGAGGAAUCCAUCCUAAAACACAGCGGGGAGCCAUUUUAAACAGCAGGCAGCCAUUUUGAAGACCCAACAAUCAGCUGUAAAGAUCGUCGCUAAGCAAAAAAUUGGUUCCCAAAGCAGGGAACCGAUUGUCAUUAAGCGAUUUUUGUCUAUUAAAACAUCAUUUUGCAAUCACAAAAGCAAUCGCAAAAACUUCAUUGUCAAGCGAUUUCCUCAUCUAACGAGGUAAUCGUCAAGCAAGGCACCACUGUAUAAAAAACUUCCCCUUUCUCAAGGACCCCAGAAGCUUUCCCAGAUCAAAAGGGAUCCUAGCGAAUCUCAGAACCUGAAAAAAGAAGCAUUAAAUUAAAUUAAAAAGAAUAAUAUCACAGGCUGAUUGCCAUUUAAGCCCACAUGGUAACUCACCAGGAUUUCACCCAAUAUUUCUUAGCCUUACCUUAGAGAGCUGUUGUGAGCAUUAAAAGUGGACGGAAGUAAUGUACACCACGUUGAGACCAUUACAGGGAGGAUGAGAUGUAAAUUGCACUAAUGUACAACAAAUACAUGAACAUAUAUAGGUCAAAAUUCUCUCAGACAUUUACAGGAGUGCAAAAAGAAUUGCAGAAAUUGCCACAGCUAAUGGUAGGUAAUUGACAAGACACUUGGUGCACAACUGAGCAUGUGAUCAGGCAUGCCACGGACACUCAAAUGGCACCUCAUCAACAAGCUGCCGUAACAAUGUUUAUUUGUUACAAUCACACAGCGCCCACAAUCUUAUUGUUCUUGCAUGCAUGUGAGUAUGCAAUAAGGUUCUGGCUAUUAUGCAACCGUAACAAAUAAAUAUUUUUAAACACCUCUGCCCUAACA